AAAUUUCUUGGAAUCUAUUUAUUGAUGUAUUAGUCCUUUAGAUUGAGCGAGGAUUUAACUCAAUCUAAUUUAGAAACGAUAAUGCUAACAUGUAAUCAUUUGCUUGACAAGUAUACUCAACUUACUUCAGAUAUUUCUAUCAGGUCCUAAAUGCUAAUUAGUUGAAUUUGGGUAAUUAUACUUUGUUGGGGGUGGUAACUACACACUAUGGGUAUAUUUAAUUGUUGAAGUAUAUUUGAUAGGUGGUUUUGUUUCUGGUAUAGGUUGAAGGAAAUGAUCUUUGAUCAUUAGCAAGAAUGAGCUUUCCAUUACACUCCUUUGGGGAGAGCCAUUCUUGGACCUGUUGAGAUUGUCAAGGCUAUCACUAAAACGCAUCUCCAUGACGAUCAUUGCCGCCUCUGGAGAUGUUAAACGCGAGGAUAUUGUAGCGCUUGUAGAAUUUGUUUUUACAAAGUUUCAACGGAUCCAACCACCGCUGCUCAAUUAGUUGUCCAGGAACCAACCUCAUUAACUGGUUCAGAGACAAUGUUGACCUCUUGGACCAAAAAUACUGGUGGCAUGAAGCAUAAUGGG
Long non-coding RNA from Spinacia oleracea (spinach), 573 nucleotides. RefSeq lists it as uncharacterized. Lineage: Eukaryota; Viridiplantae; Streptophyta; Magnoliopsida; Caryophyllales; Amaranthaceae. The transcript is spliced from 3 exons. The record is from RefSeq and is a predicted model, not a curated record.